This 1215-nucleotide ribosomal RNA is filed under the name Aliidiomarina soli. RNAcentral's name for it is "bacterial SSU rRNA". It matches the Rfam family "Bacterial small subunit ribosomal RNA", at positions 270 to 1469 of the family's 1533-position model. Lineage: Bacteria; Pseudomonadati; Pseudomonadota; Gammaproteobacteria; Alteromonadales; Idiomarinaceae. The record is from RNAcentral.
AGGGCGGGCGUUUCUUAACUUGUUCUGAAGAGGUUGUUCAACCCCCCUGGGGGUUUGAGACCCGGGCCCAGACUUCUUCCGGGAGGCAACAAUGGGGAAUAUUGGCCAAUGGGCGCAAACCUUGAUCCAACCCAUCCCGCGUGUGUGAAGAAGGCCUUCGGGUUGUUAAGCACUUUCAGUGGUGAGGAAGGCCUUGUAGUUAAUAGCUGCAAGGAUUGACGUUAGCCACAGAAGAAGCACCGGCUAACUCCGUGCCAGCAGCCGCGGUAAUACGGAGGGUGCGAGCGUUAAUCGGAAUUACUGGGCGUAAAGCGCACGUAGGCGGCCUGUUAAGCAAGAUGUGAAAGCCCAGGGCUCAACCUUGGAAUUGCAUUUUGAACUGGCAGGCUAGAGUUUUGAAGAGGGUGGUAGAAUUUCCAGUGUAGCGGUGAAAUGCGUAGAUAUUGGAAGGAAUACCAGUGGCGAAGGCGGCCACCUGGUCAAAAACUGACGCUGAGGAGCGAAAGCGUGGGGAGCAAACAGGAUUAGAUACCCUGGUAGUCCACGCCGUAAACGAUGUCAACUAGUUGUUCGUGUCUUUGAGACGUGAGUAACGCAGCUAACGCACUAAGUUGACCGCCUGGGGAGUACGGCCGCAAGGUUAAAACUCAAAUGAAUUGACGGGGGCCCGCACAAGCGGUGGAGCAUGUGGUUUAAUUCGAUGCAACGCGAAGAACCUUACCAUCCCUUGACAUCCAGAGAAUUUUCCAGAGAUGGAUUAGUGCCUUCGGGAACUCUGAGACAGGUGCUGCAUGGCUGUCGUCAGCUCGUGUUGUGAGAUGUUGGGUUAAGUCCCGCAACGAGCGCAACCCUUAUCCUUAGUUGCCAGCACGUAAUGGUGGGAACUCUAGGGAGACUGCCGGUGAUAAACCGGAGGAAGGUGGGGACGACGUCAAGUCAUCAUGGCCCUUACGGGAUGGGCUACACACGUGCUACAAUGGCGCGCACAAAGGGCAGCAAGCUAGCGAUAGCAAGCGAAUCUCAAAAAGCGCGUCGUAGUCCGGAUUGGAGUCUGCAACUCGACUCCAUGAAGUCGGAAUCGCUAGUAAUCGUGGAUCAGAAUGCCACGGUGAAUACGUUCCCGGGCCUUGUACACACCGCCCGUCACACCAUGGGAGUGGGCUGCACCAGAAGUAGAUAGCUUAACCCUCGGGAGAGCGCUACCACGUAGUAUUU